This 254-nucleotide ribosomal RNA is filed under the name uncultured bacterium. RNAcentral's name for it is "partial small subunit ribosomal RNA". It matches the Rfam family "Bacterial small subunit ribosomal RNA", at positions 26 to 285 of the family's 1533-position model. The record is from RNAcentral.
AGGACGAACGCUGGCGGCGUGCUUAACACAUGCAAGUCGAGCGGAAAGGCCCUUCGGGGUACUCGAGCGGCGAACGGGUGAGUAACACGUGGGCAACCUGCCCCUAGCUCUGGGAUAACUCCGGGAAACCAGUGCUAAUACCGGAUACGACCUCAUUAGGCAUCCUUUGAGGUGGAAAGAUUUAUCGGCUAGGGAUGGGCCCGCGGCCUAUCAGCUUGUUGGUGGGGUAACGCCUACCAAGGCGACGACGGGUA